CCUACGGGAGGCUGCAGUGGGGAAUAUUGCACAAUGGGGGAAACCCUGAUGCAGCGACGCCGCGUGAGUGAAGAAGUAAUUCGGUAUGUAAAGCUCUAUCAGCAGGGAAGAAAAUGACGGUACCUGAGUAAGAAGCCCCGGCUAACUACGGCCCAGCAGCCGCGGUAAUACGUAGGGGGCAAGCGUUAUCCGGAUUUACUGGGUGGAAAGGGAGCGUAGACGGCAGUGCAAGUCUGGAGUGAAAGGCGGGGGCUCAACCCCCGGACUGCUCUGGAUACUGUACGGCUGGAGUGCAGGAGAGGUAAGUGGAAUUCCAGGUGUAGCGGUGAAAUGCGUAGAUAUUAGGAGGAACACCAGUGGCGAAGGCGGCUUACUGGACUGUAACUGACGUUGAGGCUCGAAAGCGUGGGGAGCAAACAGGAUUAGAUACCCCUGUAGUC
RNAcentral lists this ribosomal RNA (440 nucleotides) under uncultured bacterium. RNAcentral describes it as "partial 16S ribosomal RNA". It matches the Rfam family "Bacterial small subunit ribosomal RNA", at positions 338 to 795 of the family's 1533-position model. The record is from RNAcentral.